This 1240-nucleotide long non-coding RNA is filed under the name Coturnix japonica (Japanese quail). RNAcentral's name for it is "lncRNA (ENSCJPG00005005328.1)". Lineage: Eukaryota; Metazoa; Chordata; Aves; Galliformes; Phasianidae. The record is from RNAcentral.
UGAAUACACAUGGAGCUACUGACCAGAAUGCAAAAGUCACACAGGUCUAUAUUUGUAGCACUAGACAGGACAAUCUUACCACUUAUUAAUAUCUGUUUUACAUGCCAUCCGAGCUUGCAGACAAUAUCUGAUCCUUGUGCAGGAACAAUUGUAGAACCUGUUUAUUGUUGGCUAAGGUUCCAGAAAGUCCCAUUAUUUUUCCUUGAAUCCACACAUAAACACAGAAUGGGACAGGACUGAGAAUGAAAGUCCUUUCCUGGUUAACACAUUUCUCCCAAGCCCAUCUGUCACUCUGGAAGCAGUAUUAAAGCACUGCUGCUAAGAAAUACCACGAGGGGAACCUGAGAGUGAGCAUACUUUUCUUUACACAAGCAAAACAAAUGAUGAUCCAGGAAUUCCACUACUUCUGUUUAUUUUUAAAUAGAAUGAUUCACACUGCCUUGCAAGCACAUUGACUGUUAUACAGAAAAUUGAACAAAACCAAGAUAUUCUGUUACCUCACUAUUGAGGAUUUUUGCUUUCUUGAUAAAACACAGCCACACAAACUUUGUAGUUGCUCAUGGUUUGAGUUAGAAUCUCUUAAAAUACUUUAAUAUCAUAAGUUAAUACUACUUUGAAAAUGAUAAUCUCUGGACUAGUUACUCUUUUAAAAGUUCAGAUUAGAAAUUCAGUUUAAACUUCAUGAGACUAGAAGAUCCUGUGUGGAUGUAUGCUCUUUGUUAGUUUUUUGUUAGCUUCUCUACAACCCUGUGUAGGAAGAGAGAAAACAGGGACUUGACACUGUGUAGUAGUUGGCAGCAUCCUAAGACACUGGUUGAACUGAUGCCACAGAAACUGAAACGGAUGUGAAAGAUGAGCUGUCUGAUUUGGACACCUUCCAGAUGAAAGUAGUUUGGUCCAAGACCAAACCGAAGACACACAAAGACAGCUUAAAUGAUUUUUUUAGAAAGCAAAAUGUAUAUUCAUCUUUUUCUCAUCCAACCAUGAAAACAUUCCUUAUCUGAAAGGAGAUUCCUUAUCCUAGUAGUGAAAAAUCAGACUUAGACAGUUCCAUAGGUUGUCAACGAAGAACAUGAAGGCCCCCUAGCAACGUUCUACAGCACUCUUUGCAUGCAGACUUGGCUCUACGUUUCAACUGCCUACUGUAAGUAGCAGUAAUAUACUUUAGUAUUUGACUGUACAUGGAGCCUGUGUCUGGGAGCACUGAACAGUAGGUGGUCUGAAUAGCUCAUUACUUUCU